This 485-nucleotide ribosomal RNA is filed under the name uncultured bacterium. Its description in RNAcentral is "bacterial SSU rRNA". It matches the Rfam family "Bacterial small subunit ribosomal RNA", at positions 327 to 805 of the family's 1533-position model. The record is from RNAcentral.
AACCGAGAACUCCUACGGGAGGCAGCAGUGGGGAAUUUUGGACAAUGGGGGCAACCCUGAUCCAGCAAUGCCGCGUGAGUUAAGAAGGCCUUCGGGUUGUAAAGCUCUUUUGUCAGGGAAGAAACGGUAGUAGCUAAUAUCUAUUACUAAUGACGGUACCUGAAGAAUAAGCACCGGCUAACUACGUGCCAGCAGCCGCGGUAAUACGUAGGGUGCAAGCGUUAAUCGGAAUUACUGGGCGUAAAGCGUGCGCAGGCGGUUGUGUAAGUCAGAUGUGAAAUCCCCGGGCUCAACCUGGGAAUUGCAUUUGAGACUGCACGGCUAGAGUGUGUCAGAGGGGGGUAGAAUUCCACGUGUAGCAGUGAAAUGCGUAGAGAUGUGGAGGAAUACCGAUGGCGAAGGCAGCCCCCUGGGAUAACACUGACGCUCAUGCACGAAAGCGUGGGGAGCAAACAGGAUUAGAAACCCCGGUAGUCCGACUGAGA